RNAcentral lists this ribosomal RNA (373 nucleotides) under uncultured bacterium. RNAcentral's name for it is "bacterial SSU rRNA". It matches the Rfam family "Bacterial small subunit ribosomal RNA", at positions 523 to 898 of the family's 1533-position model. The record is from RNAcentral.
AUACGGAGGGUCCGAGCGUUAUCCGGAUUUAUUGGGUUUAAAGGGUGCGUAGGCGGUUUUAUAAGUCAGCGGUGAAAUUUUCCGGCUCAACCGGGAUACUGCCGUUGAUACUGUAAGGCUAGGAUAUGGUUGCUGUGGGUGGAAUGUGUGGUGUAGCGGUGAAAUGCUUAGAGAUCACACAGAAUAUCGAUUGCGAAGGCAGCUCACAAAGCCAUUAUUGACGCUGAGGCACGAAAGUGUGGGGAUCAAACAGGAUUAGAUACCCUGGUAGUCCACACUGUAAACGAUGAUAACUCGCUGUCGGCGAUAUAAAGUCGGUGGCCAAGCGAAAGCGAUAAGUUAUCCACCUGGGGAGUACGACCGCAAGGUUGAA